This 1082-nucleotide ribosomal RNA is filed under the name Exobasidiomycetes sp. genotype e50ss004. RNAcentral's name for it is "eukaryotic LSU rRNA". The stretch from base 555 to 1082 matches the Rfam family "Eukaryotic large subunit ribosomal RNA", at positions 1 to 533 of the family's 3401-position model. The record is from RNAcentral. Lineage: Eukaryota; Fungi; Basidiomycota; Exobasidiomycetes.
CAUUAGUGAAGAUUUGGGCCAGCCAUACGGACGCUACCGCGUCUCUGGCGCCCACCACUAUAUCCACACCAACCCCUGUGCACUGUGAUGGCGAAAGUCAUCGAACCAAAAAAACUCGUAUGGUUGUAUGUACGUGAAACUGUAGGCUUUGCCUACGAACUAUACACAACUUUCGACAACGGAUCUCUUGGUUCUCCCAUCGAUGAAGAACGCAGCGAAACGCGAUAGGUAAUGUGAAUUGCAGAAUUCCGUGAAUCAUCGAGUCUUUGAACGCACCUUGCGCUCCAUGGUAUUCCGUGGAGCAUGCCUGUUUGAGUGCCGCGAAUUCUCCCUCCCCAUACGGUGGCCGAAAGGCCGGAGUAUGGCGGACGGGGUUGGAUGGGUGCCGCUGCCUGGGAAACCAGGCUCGCCCGAAAUGCAUAAGCGCCAGGACCCUCGCUACUGCCCUCUAGGGAAGGGCGGCUGAGCGACCGCUGAGCAUGGCAUGAUACGUCAUUUGCUGUGUGUGGGCGGCCGGUUGGAGAGGUGUCUGCUUUAUACAGCCCUUUUUAUUCUGGUCUCAAAUCAGGUAGGAUCACCCGCUGAACUUAAGCAUAUCAAUAAGCGGAGGAAAAGAAACUAACAAGGAUUCCCCUAGUAACGGCGAGCGAAGCGGGAAGAGCUCAAAUUUGAAAGCUGGCACCUCCGGUGUCCGCGUUGUAAUCUCGAGACGUGUUUUCCGUGCGGCUCUAUGGACAAGUCCCUUGGAACAGGGCAUCGUAGAGGGUGAAAAUCCCGUACUUGCCAUGGAUGUACCGUGCUUUGUGAUACACGCUCUAAGAGUCGAGUUGUUUGGGAUUGCAGCUCAAAAUGGGUGGUAGACUCCAUCUAGAGCUAAAUAUCGGGGAGAGACCGAUAGCGAACAAGUACCGUGAGGGAAAGAUGAAAAGCACUUUGGAAAGAGAGUUAAAAGUACGUGAAAUUGUCGAAAGGGAAGCGCUUGAAGUCAGCCAUGCUGCGCGGACUCAGCCCGGCUGGAUGCCUGGUGUAUUUCUCAGUAGCAAGUCAGCAUGGAUUUGAGUCGCCGGAGAAGGGUAGGAGGA